CAAGCAUUGGCGAAAUCCCGUCCCUACGUGGGAAAAAUAGGAGAAAUGUGUGGGACGAGUCCCGCCACCAUUGACUCGGGUACUCUCGAGCAAAAGUUAAACAGAGCGGAAAAUUUGGAGAUAGCAAUUAAACAGAUAAACGAUAAGCUUGAUAGGUUAGAACCUACCGUCGAAAAAACAGAUUUUCGGCAACGGACAAUGACACAACCCGUGGAAUCGACAGAAUUGCGAGAAUCCCCGUACUAUAGAUCACCUAGAUUGCCUCCACAUCAUGCACAGAGUUGGAACCGUCCACGCUAUAGG
RNAcentral lists this long non-coding RNA (303 nucleotides) under Androctonus crassicauda. Lineage: Eukaryota; Metazoa; Arthropoda; Arachnida; Scorpiones; Buthidae. The record is from RNAcentral.